Molecule: ribosomal RNA, 519 nt
Filed under: uncultured bacterium
Lineage: Bacteria
Description: partial 16S ribosomal RNA
Rfam family: Bacterial small subunit ribosomal RNA
Source: RNAcentral
UGGGGAAUUUUGGACAAUGGGCGCAAGCCUGAUCCAGCCAUGCCGCGUGCGGGAAGAAGGCCUUCGGGUUGUAAACCGCUUUUGUCAGGGAAGAAAUCUUCUGAGUUAAUACCUCGGGAGGAUGACGGUACCUGAAGAAUAAGCACCGGCUAACUACGUGCCAGCAGCCGCGGUAAUACGUAGGGUGCAAGCGUUAAUCGGAAUUACUGGGCGUAAAGCGUGCGCAGGCGGUUUUGUAAGACAGAGGUGAAAUCCCCGGGCUCAACCUGGGAACUGCCUUUGUGACUGCAAGGCUUGAGUGCGGCAGAGGGGGAUGGAAUUCCGCGUGUAGCAGUGAAAUGCGUAGAUAUGCGGAGGAACACCGAUGGCGAAGGCAAUCCCCUGGGCCUGCACUGACGCUCAUGCACGAAAGCGUGGGGAGCAAACAGGAUUAGAUACCCUGGUAGUCCACGCCCUAAACGAUGUCAACUGGUUGUUGGGAAGGUUCCUUCUCAGUAACGUAGCUAACGCGUGAAGUUG